RNAcentral lists this RNase P RNA (370 nucleotides) under Pseudomonadota bacterium. RNAcentral's name for it is "Proteobacteria bacterium (wastewater metagenome) RNase P RNA component class A". It matches the Rfam family "Bacterial RNase P class A". From Rfam's summary of the family: Ribonuclease P (RNase P) is a ubiquitous endoribonuclease, found in archaea, bacteria and eukarya as well as chloroplasts and mitochondria. Its best characterised activity is the generation of mature 5'-ends of tRNAs by cleaving the 5'-leader elements of precursor-tRNAs. Cellular RNase Ps are ribonucleoproteins. Lineage: Bacteria; Pseudomonadati; Pseudomonadota. The record is from RNAcentral.
AGCGUGGGCCGGAAUAUGGCUCAUAGAAACUUAGUUUCUGUGGGAGGAAAGUCCGGGCUUCAUAGAGCACCGUAGCAGCUGUAGUGGCUGCCCAGGGAUCUCCCUUUGGGGAGCGUACUUGAGGAAUAGUGCAACAGAGAGAAUGUCCAGGGCAUUGAGCUCUAAGUCGGGAGAAGGAGACUUAGAAGGAGCCGCUGGAGUGAAAACAGGCAAACUCUACGGGAAGCAAGAUCAAAUAGGAGAGAUUGGGCGGCUCGCUCAUAGGUCUCUCGGGUAGAUCGCUUAGAGAAAUCAUAUUCUCCAGCGCAUAAGGCACCUUCGGUUUCCAAGGCGUUGAAGACAGAACCCGGCUUACAGGCCCACGCAACCG